Molecule: ribosomal RNA, 1514 nt
Filed under: Campylobacter jejuni
Lineage: Bacteria; Pseudomonadati; Campylobacterota; Epsilonproteobacteria; Campylobacterales; Campylobacteraceae
Description: partial 23S ribosomal RNA
Rfam family: Bacterial large subunit ribosomal RNA
Source: RNAcentral
UUUGCGUCGAAGGUAUACCGGUAAGGAGUGCUGGAGCGAAUAGAAGUGAGCAUGCAGGCAUGAGUAGCGAUAAUUAAUGUGAGAAUCAUUAACGCCGUAAACCCAAGGUUUCCUACGCGAUGCUCGUCAUCGUAGGGUUAGUCGGGUCCUAAGUCGAGUCCGAAAGGGGUAGACGAUGGCAAAUUGGUUAAUAUUCCAAUACCAACAUUAGUGUGCGAUGGAAGGACGCUUAGGGCUAAGGGGGCUAGCGGAUGGAAGUGCUAGUCUAAGGUCGUAGGAGGUUAUACAGGCAAAUCCGUAUAACAAUACUCCGAGAACUGAAAGGCUUUUUGAAGUCUUCGGAUGGAUAGAAGAACCCCUGAUGCCGUCGAGCCAAGAAAAGUUUCUAAGUUUAGCUAAUGUUGCCCGUACCGUAAACCGACACAGGUGGGUGGGAUGAGUAUUCUAAGGCGCGUGGAAGAACUCUCUUUAAGGAACUCUGCAAAAUAGCACCGUAUCUUCGGUAUAAGGUGUGGUUAGCUUUGUAUUAGGAUUUACUCCGAAAGCAAGGAAACUUACAACAAAGAGUCCCUCCCGACUGUUUACCAAAAACACAGCACUCUGCUAACUCGUAAGAGGAUGUAUAGGGUGUGACGCCUGCCCGGUGCUCGAAGGUUAAUUGAUGGGGUUAGCAUUAGCGAAGCUCUUGAUCGAAGCCCGAGUAAACGGCGGCCGUAACUAUAACGGUCCUAAGGUAGCGAAAUUCCUUGUCGGUUAAAUACCGACCUGCAUGAAUGGCGUAACGAGAUGGGAGCUGUCUCAAAGAGGGAUCCAGUGAAAUUGUAGUGGAGGUGAAAAUUCCUCCUACCCGCGGCAAGACGGAAAGACCCCGUGGACCUUUACUACAGCUUGACACUGCUACUUGGAUAAGAAUGUGCAGGAUAGGUGGGAGGCUUUGAGUAUAUGACGCCAGUUGUAUAUGAGCCAUUGUUGAGAUACCACUCUUUCUUAUUUGGGUAGCUAACCAGCUUGAGUUAUCCUCAAGUGGGACAAUGUCUGGUGGGUAGUUUGACUGGGGCGGUCGCCUCCCAAAUAAUAACGGAGGCUUACAAAGGUUGGCUCAGAACGGUUGGAAAUCGUUCGUAGAGUAUAAAGGUAUAAGCCAGCUUAACUGCAAGACAUACAAGUCAAGCAGAGACGAAAGUCGGUCUUAGUGAUCCGGUGGUUCUGUGUGGAAGGGCCAUCGCUCAAAGGAUAAAAGGUACCCCGGGGAUAACAGGCUGAUCUCCCCCAAGAGCUCACAUCGACGGGGAGGUUUGGCACCUCGAUGUCGGCUCAUCGCAUCCUGGGGCUGGAGCAGGUCCCAAGGGUAUGGCUGUUCGCCAUUUAAAGCGGUACGCGAGCUGGGUUCAGAACGUCGUGAGACAGUUCGGUCCCUAUCUGCCGUGGGCGUAAGAAGAUUGAAGAGAUUUGACCCUAGUACGAGAGGACCGGGUUGAACAAACCACUGGUGUAGCUGUUGUUCUGCCAAGAGC